This 176-nucleotide non-coding RNA is filed under the name Candidatus Magnetococcus massalia. RNAcentral describes it as "magneto-ovoid bacterium MO-1 6S". It matches the Rfam family "6S / SsrS RNA". From Rfam's summary of the family: E. coli 6S RNA was the first non coding RNA to be sequenced, but its function was unknown until recently. The record is from RNAcentral. Lineage: Bacteria; Pseudomonadati; Pseudomonadota; Magnetococcia; Magnetococcales; Magnetococcaceae.
GAACCCCUGUGGUAUUCGUGAGGACACAAACUUCCUGAGCCGAUACUAUUGAACCCGGGAAGCCCGCACUGGUCGUGGAGUGCCAGCCCAAGCGGCAAGCCGGAAGCGGUUAUCGGGCGUCCACCUAAAAUUACGGGUUCAAGAAGCUUGUCUCUAACGGUACUCGCGGGGGCUUU